Long non-coding RNA from Dromaius novaehollandiae (emu), 3028 nucleotides. RefSeq lists it as uncharacterized. The record is from RefSeq and is a predicted model, not a curated record. The transcript is spliced from 3 exons. Lineage: Eukaryota; Metazoa; Chordata; Aves; Casuariiformes; Dromaiidae.
UUCUCUCCGCUCCGCCAGCCUGAGCGAGCAGCAGCAGCCUCCCCCGCCGAGCAGGCGGCGGGAGCGCUCGCAGCCGCUGCAGCGCGACUCCGCGCAGCCCCCUGCGCCGGUGCCGCCGAGCUCCGCGCGGAGGUCGCGACCGGCGGAGCGAGCAGAUGGAAAAUCCCAGUUCCUGCCGCACGCAAACAAGUGGUCCCUGCGCUGGAAAUCCACAUCUGCUCUCUGCUUCAAACGCCUGCGUGGCCGACUUGUCUACCGCCCUCAUAUCUGGCCCCCGCGCAAUUGGGAGGCCUGGUCAAAUCCUGACCACAAAUCGCACUGAAAAGAGAAUCAUGAUCUCACCACUCACAAAAUGCUAUGGGUGAAAGAGAAGGCAUUUAACCAUUUCCCUCUCUCUUGGCUGAUCUGAUCCCACCUGGGGGACCAGGACCUACUCCCGGAUGACUGUCCUGAGCUACAUGCUGUAUUGCAAGCUGGACCGUCCUUUCCCCAAGGUAUAGGAUCGCUCACCCCAACAAAGCCCCUUCUUUCCCUCAUUCCCUUCCUGGAAGCCACAGAUGUCGAAUAUCUUGGGGAUCUCUUCCGCUUGGGCAUGCUGUCGCGGGGAAGGAGGAGCGUGCAUGGAGUGCUCCCGCAGCUUCUCAAGACUAGAGUGGGGACGCUACGCUGCAGCUCCGAGGGGGAGAGCGGGACUGCGGCAGGGGAGUUUGGGGAAUGCAGAAGCACGGAGGCACAGCAAGGCUGGGCAGUGCAGAACGAGGCUCAGUGGCAGGGCAACUCCAGAUAGCCACAAAAUGAGUAUUGCUGAUGCCUGUCUGGCACCAGCUGUCACCUAGUCACCACGGAUCAUGCACAUUUUGAACUGUGAUAUCACCAUUGCAUCACAUUGCCCGUUACAAAUAUCGACGGCAGGAGAAAACUGGUGUUCCUGCUCCCCGUGUUACAAGUACUCUGAAGACAGAUUCCAGUCCAAUGUAUAGGUAUCCUGUGGGAGACAUUUUCAAAAAUAGCCACUAAUUAUGAAAGCCUUCAUUUUUGGGUCACUCAGCUACAACCCUGUACUCAAAAGUGGAUACACUUAGAAUCAGCAACUGCUUAAAAAAAUCCUAGUUUAAAUUUGGUUUGUCGAAAAUGGAUAAAAAUAAUAAGACAGGCAGGCUAUGUGCAUUGGAGGAUGGUGAAAAUGGGGAGUAGAGGGUGCACUUUAAGACAUUUUCUACUGUUCUGUACAAUGAGUUUACCCAUUUUAAAAUGAUUUACUUUGCUACCUUGGCUAAGUACAGUUGAUGUUUGUUGUUUAAACAAUGAUUGCACUCUCCCAGGCCAUCUGCUCCUCCUACCCAAUCCUGCAGUGGCCUUGUGCUUCGUGUGGCGUUACAGAUACUUUCUAGCCAGUGCACAAUAUAAUGGCAUAAAACCACCAUUAUGUAUUCACACCAAAAUGGGGAGAGAAGUGAGAAGGGGAAAAAACUUAGCAAAGCCAACAGCUGUGACAUGAAGGUGUCACCAAAACAUCCAGUUUGGAAAGGAUUACGAAAAUACAUUAUUUUGUUAAGUUUCCCUGGUCACUUCUUACUGCUACUCUUGUCCUCUCUCAGUAUUUACUGAAAAAAAAGACUCACCUAUACAAAGCACCGGGAGAGCCAGUGUGGCCCUCAGCCAGCUCUUGCAAUCUGCGAGUGUGAUUUCACCUUCUCCACAUUACGUCAGCCACAUCCACCACCCACAACCCACAUGCCUCCUCCCUGCAACCCCACACGAGACAGUAACUGCACACUCAGAGCGUGCAGCGUGGUUAGCGAGAGCAGUGAUUGCCUGGCAUGGCGAUGCUGUUGGAAGUAGCUGGAGUUCAGGGGCUAUGUUUUCAGCUAUGGCUGAAGGGCAUCAUGUAAGAGGAUUGCGAAUGAUGCAAAUCAUUUGUUUGUAGGUGGGAAUCGAUUCUAAGAGUUUCAUCACCCUGUGAAGUUAUCCUCAGCUCUGAGUGAUUUAGGCGGCCUGGUGAGGAAGUAUGGUGCUGCAUUUUGUUUUCUUGGCAGGGAGGUUUAUGCACCGAGUUAAGUUUGCAGGUUUUGGGUGGAAAUAGUGGGAGGAAGCCUGUGGUUCUAGGAGCUGGUGUGGUGAUGUGCUGAAGGUGAAACUAUGGUUAAAGGCUGCAAAACAUGGGUGAAGGCUUGGCUAGGGUCUUCAUGGCUCUUCAGUGUUUUUGUUGGUGGGAUGUGCCAUGAGCAACUUCAACAGAUUUCUAACAACAUUUUUGGUUUGGUGGGGUUUCCGUGCAAACAUUGACAGAUAGCAUGGGUACCAAAUGUAUUUUCAUCUCCGUGUUCCUCCCAUAGAGUCUUGCAAAGCCCCAGAUCUUCACACAUCACCUUUCUUUCCACAUGACCUCUUCACUUGACUUUCCCUCUCUGUCUCCUUUUCCAGAUCAUGGCCUGGAUUUUUUCUAUGUUCUGUUGUCCCUAGAGCCCAGACUACCUCUUUCUUUCUUUCUUUCUUUGUCUUCCUCCCUUCCUUCCUCCUUCUUCUGCCUCUCAGGGCAGCUAUUCCAGCACCCAUUUAUACAGGUGAAUCACUGCAGAUAGCCACGUGAGUUGAUAAAUGUGGGCACUGAGAAAAAAAUCAAAUGUGGCAAGGGAGCAGGGAAGGAGAAAGAGGUUGCAUAUAGGGUGGGAAGGAGUGGCAGCAUGUGAAGGGCUGGUAAAGAUAUUGAAGUGUAGGAGGGGCUUGUUCAUAAUGUGCUCUUGGGCCUGCAGGACUAGCAAGCUAAAAAGAGGAGGGAGAUGUGAAAAAGCUGCUUCUGUAGCCAGUCUGGGCCUGAGGAGGGAGAGACAGAGGAACUGUGUGCUGACAAAGCCUGGACAGCCCGCCUGCCCCCUGUGAGCUCUCACUUCCCCAUGCUUCCCCACACAACCGUGUAGCCGACUUGUCUCCCUGCCGCCCCUGCCACCUGAGCUUGCCCUGGUGCUGGUACACUGGGGGAAGAGACCGAGGGAGCGAGGACAGAAACAGCACUGAGUCCCCAGAGUGG